GACUUUGAUUCUGGCUCAGGACGAACGCUGGCGGCGUGCUUAACACAUGCAAGUCGAACGGAGUGCUCCUGAUUGAGGUUUCGGCCAAAUGAAGGAGUUACUUAGUGGCGGACUGGUGAGUAACGCGUGAGGAACCUGCCUUUCAGAGGGGGACAACAGUUGGAAACGACUGCUAAUACCGCAUGACGCAUGACUGGGGCAUCCCGGACAUGCCAAAGAUUUUAUCGCUGAAAGAUGGCCUCGCGUCUGAUUAGAUAGUUGGCGGGGUAACGGCCCACCAAGUCGACGAUCAGUAGCCGGACUGAGAGGUUGACCGGCCACAUUGGGACUGAGAUACGGCCCAGACUCCUACGGGAGGCAGCAGUGGGGAAUAUUGGGCAAUGGACGCAAGUCUGACCCAGCAACGCCGCGUGAAGGAAGAAGGCUUUCGGGUUGUAAACUUCUUUUGUCAGGGAAGAGCAGAAGACGGUACCUGACGAAUAAGCCACGGCUAACUACGUGCCAGCAGCCGCGGUAAUACGUAGGUGGCAAGCGUUGUCCGGAUUUACUGGGUGUAAAGGGCGUGCAGCCGGAGAGAUAAGUCAGAUGUGAAAUCCGCGGGCUCAACCCGCGAACUGCAUUUGAAACUGUUUCCCUUGAGUAUCGGAGAGGUAAUCGGAAUUCCUAGUGUAGCGGUGAAAUGCGUAGAUAUUAGGAAGAACACCAGUGGCGAAGGCGGAUUACUGGACGACAACUGACGGUGAGGCGCGAAAGCGUGGGGAGCAAACAGGAUUAGAUACCCUGGUAGUCCACGCUGUAAACGAUCAAUACUAGGUGUGCGGGGACUGACCCCCUGCGUGCCGCAGUUAACACAAUAAGUAUUGCACCUGGGGAGUACGAUCGCAAGGUUGCAACUCAAAUGAAUUGACGG
Molecule: ribosomal RNA, 910 nt
Filed under: uncultured Bacillota bacterium
Lineage: Bacteria; Bacillati; Bacillota
Description: bacterial SSU rRNA
Rfam family: Bacterial small subunit ribosomal RNA
Source: RNAcentral